UACGAAGGGGGCUAGCGUUGUUCGGAAUUACUGGGCGUAAAGCGCACGUAGGCGGCUAUUUAAGUCAGGGGUGAAAUCCCAGAGCUCAACUCUGGAACUGCCUUUGAUACUGGGUAUCUCGAGUAUGGAAGAGGUGAGUGGAAUUCCGAGUGUAGAGGUGAAAUUCGUAGAUAUUCGGAGGAACACCAGUGGCGAAGGCGGCUCACUGGUCCAUUACUGACGCUGAGGUGCGAAAGCGUGGGGGGCAAACAGG
This 253-nucleotide ribosomal RNA is filed under the name uncultured bacterium. Its description in RNAcentral is "partial 16S ribosomal RNA". It matches the Rfam family "Bacterial small subunit ribosomal RNA", at positions 524 to 776 of the family's 1533-position model. The record is from RNAcentral.